Molecule: ribosomal RNA, 675 nt
Filed under: uncultured bacterium
Lineage: Bacteria
Description: bacterial SSU rRNA
Rfam family: Bacterial small subunit ribosomal RNA
Source: RNAcentral
UUAAAGAUUUAUCGGUGAUGGAUGGGGAUGCGUCUGAUUAGCUUGUUGGCGGGGUAACGGCCCACCAAGGCGACGAUCAGUAGGGGUUCUGAGAGGAAGGUCCCCCACAUUGGAACUGAGACACGGUCCAAACUCCUACGGGAGGCAGCAGUGAGGAAUAUUGGUCAAUGGACGAGAGUCUGAACCAGCCAAGUAGCGUGCAGGAUGACGGCCCUAUGGGUUGUAAACUGCUUUUAUAAGGGAAUAAAGUGAGCCUCGUGAGGCUUUUUGCAUGUACCUUAUGAAUAAGGACCGGCUAAUUCCGUGCCAGCAGCCGCGGUAAUACGGAAGGUCCGGGCGUUAUCCGGAUUUAUUGGGUUUAAAGGGAGCGUAGGCCGGAGAUUAAGCGUGUUGUGAAAUGUAGAUGCUCAACAUCUGCACUGCAGCGCGAACUGGUUUCCUUGAGUACGCACAAAGUGGGCGGAAUUCGUGGUGUAGCGGUGAAAUGCUUAGAUAUCACGAAGAACUCCGAUUGCGAAGGCAGCUCACUGGAGCGCAACUGACGCUGAAGCUCGAAAGUGCGGGUAUCGAACAGGAUUAGAUACCCUGGUAGUCCGCACGGUAAACGAUGGAUGCCCGCUGUUGGUCUGAAUAGGUCAGCGGCCAAGCGAAAGCAUUAAGCAUCCCACCUGGGGA